RNAcentral lists this long non-coding RNA (2216 nucleotides) under Pelobates cultripes (western spadefoot toad). The record is from RNAcentral. Lineage: Eukaryota; Metazoa; Chordata; Amphibia; Anura; Pelobatidae.
ACCUUUCUUCUCAUUAAUUGUCCAUUUCUCAUCAUUAUCCAGAUGUAGGUCCCCGUCUAUGUCCUUCUUUUUACUCAUUGGAGGCAUGAAUGCAUGGCCCAAAACACGACCUGGACCAUCAAAAGCAUUCUUAGAGCCAUCGUUAUGCAGACCAGAGACAAAGAAAAUGUCCAUAUCGGCUGUUUGGCUAAUACCCACUUCAAUAAAAUUUAGAUGCGACACAUUCUCCCAAACCUAGAAACAGAGGGCUACAUUAGUUGUUUAUUCACAAAUGUUGAAGUGACAACUUCCAAAAUGUCUAAUCACUAAUAGAUAUUUUUUUUAUAUUUUAUAUCUAAAUGUCAAUUAGGUUGGUGUAAAACAUAAUGGUUAUAAAAUAUAUUCCACAAUUGUUCAGAUUGUUUAGAAACUGGGUAGAUAAAACUACUUUAAAUACAGCUUGUGGAAAUUAUUAUUAUUAUUUUUUUUAGGUAAUGUUUUUAUUGAGUUUUUCCAUACAACAGUUUAGAAUUGUCAUAUGAAAGGAAAAGAAUCAUGUAUGAAUAAAUAAAUGGAAACAAAGCUUGCAUCAAAAAUAGUUAUCCAACUUUAAGGAUAAGAUAUAGAUAUAGAUAUUAAAUUCUAAGGCUUUAAUUACCAGGGGGCUGCUGCUAAGACAAACAGUUAAUUGUUUUUAUUUCUUUAUGUGGGCCAGGCCAAGACAUUGUCUGCCUGGGUCCAAGGAUGAAAUGCUUCCCCCCAAAACACUCAAAAUUCCAUUAUGAAGUGUGUGUGUGUGGAGUGGAUGCAGUGUUUGUAGUGAAUUCAUUAGGUGUGUGUGUGUGUGUGUGUAUAGUAGAUGCAGAGUGUGUGUUUGGGUAGUGAAUGCUGUGUGUGUAGUAGAUGCAGUGUCUGUGUGUAGUGAAUGUAUUGUGUGUGUGUGUGUGUGUGUGUGUGUAUAGUGGAUUCAGUGUGUUUAAAUUUUAAAUUAAUUUUGAAUUCUCUUUAAUUCUCACUCUAGUGAAUAACCCUGUAAGAGUACUACAAUCUGGUGAGCGAAUGUAGACUAGACAAGGCUUCAUGGAAUUUCGAGUAGUUAUAAAUUCAAGGCAAUUACACAGAAGCAUUAAGAAAUAAUAAAAACAAUAAACUGAGGAGUACACUAGAAGAGGAGUCCCUCAAGAUAUAUUCCCAACUCGCUCCUAGCCAGUUUGCAGAGGAACUGCUAGAAACAAAACCUUGAAUAUUAACGUCCCUGGUGAACCCUCAUCAUUUUGCGCGUUUUGAAGAGAAUGAACUCUUCACAGACCUACCCCAAAAAACACCCUUCAAUACAUUUGAUUACUUACAAUACAUACAAAUACGGCACAACAACCUUAACGACUUUCAAAAAAGCAUCUAUACAAUGCCAGUGCAGAGAGGCUAGAUAUUUACACUCUUCUGACCCCAAAACCUGUUGAAGCUUCAUUAACCUGUCUCAGCUUUGGAGAGUGAUCUAGGCCCCUUGGAGGACCCAUUGGACUGGCUGUCCAUAUGGGAAACAACAGCCACGGUUACGAUAUGCGUUAACCACAAAGAACAGGCAUAUAAAACACUGAUGUGUUAAACAAAGGGGCAGCACCAUCUCUGACCACUGUUGGAAGGGAUGCAGACAAAAUGGCACCUACUUCCACCUAUUGUGGGAAUGUAACCAAAUUGCCCAACUGUGGCGUGAAAUCACACAGUUCGCUUCAAAGAUCCUACAUACAAAAAUUCCGAAAGACCCAUGGAUAUGUCUGCUCUCCAAUCCCUACUGAGAUAUUCCCAGAGACCAAAACAAGCUAAUAACAAAAAUAGUGUUAUCAACUAGAAGGGCCAUAGCAGAAAAUUGGGGUUUAAUCAAAAUCCCAACCCUAGGAGAUGUAAAAAGAUGUAAAAAGCAAAAAGAGACCAGAAAAAUGGACAGGCAUUCAGCACUAAUCCAUGACACAAUUAAACAUUUUGACAAAAUAUGGGACCCAUGGCUCUUGGUACUUUCCUCAACCUGCCCUAACUCACCCCUCCCGCUAUGCACCAUCACCACUCCCCUUUUUUUCCUCCUCCUUUUUUUCUUACUCUUCCCGAAAUCCUUCUUUCUCCCUUUUCUUUCUUGUAAUCCUAUCUUGGGUCCCUGUAAUGGACACAGGUUUAUUAUGGUCUUAUUCAUUAGAAAUCACUUAAUACAGUUUAUUAUGUUGAGUGCCAUUUUAGAAUUGUAC